UUAAGAGGGCAGGAAUCGAACCUGCACAGGGAAAUCAAAAUUCCUAAUGCUCCCAUUGCAUCACCUCCU
RNAcentral lists this transfer RNA (69 nucleotides) under Phoeniculus purpureus (green woodhoopoe). RNAcentral describes it as "tRNA-Gln". The record is from RNAcentral. Lineage: Eukaryota; Metazoa; Chordata; Aves; Bucerotiformes; Phoeniculidae.